CAGAUUGCAGGCUGCAACCCGCCUGCAUGAAGUCGGAAUUGCUAGUAAUCGCGGAUCAGCAUGCCGCGGUGAAUACGUUCCCGGGCCUUGUACACACCGCCCGUCACACCAUGGGAGCCGGUAAUACCCGAAGUCAGUAGUCCAACCACGUGAGGACGCUGCCGAAGGUAGGAUUGGCGACUGGGGUGAAGUCGUAACAAGGUAAC
RNAcentral lists this ribosomal RNA (206 nucleotides) under uncultured bacterium. Its description in RNAcentral is "partial 16S ribosomal RNA". It matches the Rfam family "Bacterial small subunit ribosomal RNA", at positions 1294 to 1500 of the family's 1533-position model. The record is from RNAcentral.